RNA transcript from Erigeron canadensis, 2075 nucleotides. It is a transcript of the gene named magnesium transporter MRS2-I-like, with no coding region annotated. The record is from RefSeq and is a predicted model, not a curated record. NCBI's taxonomy places the organism in Eukaryota, Viridiplantae, Streptophyta, Magnoliopsida, Asterales, Asteraceae. The transcript is spliced from 12 exons.
ACUCACCCCAAAUUCAUUCCUUCACUUUGUUUCCAAAUAAAAUGUAGUAAUUUCCCUCUCAAUUCCUUCCUUUCAACAAACCCUAAUUAAUUAAAAUCCCAUUAAUACCUCCCUUCUAAUUAACUAAUUAAUUAAUUAGGGUUUUUAUAAUCUCACAAUUUAUAAUUCAUUCAUGCAACAACAAAAUUAAAAAAAAAAUAUUAGUAAAAUACUCGGGGAAUGAUUGAUAGAAGAUACAGGCAGAAGAAUAAGAAUAAUAAUAAGAAUAAUGGGUCGAGGAGAAGUGACAUCAUCGGAGAUGGAAACGACGUCGUCGUUAGUGGUGAAGAAAAAAGCGAGAAGUUGGAUAUUAAUAGAUACAAAUGUGAAUGAAAGUGUGAUGGAUAUAGAUAAGUAUGCGAUUAUGCAUAGAGUUCAGAUUCAUGCGCGUGAUCUCAGAAUUCUCGAUCCUCUUCUUUCGUAUCCUUCUACUAUUUUAGGCCGUGACCGUGCUAUCGUUCUCAAUCUCGAACAUAUCAAGGCUAUUAUCACUGCCGAAGAGGUCUUGCUUCGGGAUCCUUCAGAUGAUAAUGUAAUACCAGUUGUUGAAGAGCUAAGGAGGAGAUUGCCUGUUACAAAUUCUAAUCAUGGAGAAUUGGGUGGCCAGAAUGAUGAUGCUGGCGAAGAAGAUGAGUCUCCAUUUGAAUUUCGAGCAUUAGAGGUUUUCCUAGAGGCCAUCUGCAGCUUUCAUGCGGCGCGUACUACAGAACUAGAAACUGAUGCUUACCCAGCGUUGGACGAGCUUACGUCUAAGAUAAGUAGUCGUAACUUGGACCGGGUUCGUAAACUGAAAAGUGCAAUGACAAGGUUGACUGCUCGUGUACAAAAGGUUAGGGAUGAACUUGAACGACUUUUGGACGACGACGAUGAUAUGGCAGAUCUUUACUUAUCACGGAAGCUAUCUUCGGCCUCACCAGUAAGUGGGUCUGGUGCUGCUAGUUGGUUUCUUGGGUCACCUACUAUUGGUUCAAAGAUUUCUAGAGCUAGCAGGGCUAGUGUGAUGACGGUUCAUGGAGAUGAGAAUGAUGUUGAAGAGCUUGAGAUGCUUCUGGAGGCCUACUUCAUGCAGAUUGAUGGAACGUUAAACAAGUUAACUAGUCUACGUGAAUAUAUUGAUGAUACCGAAGAUUACAUCAACAUCCAGCUUGACAAUCAUAGAAAUCAGCUAAUUCAGCUGGAGCUCUUUUUAAGUUCAGGAACCGUAUGCAUGUCAAUCUAUGCAUUGGUGACUGGGAUAUUUGGGAUGAAUAUACCUUAUACAUGGAACGAUGAUCAUGGCUACAUGUUCAAAUGGGUGGUGAUCGUGUCUGGUGUUUUUUCUGCAGUCCUUUUUCUUCUCAUUGUUUCCUAUGCUCGUUUUAAAGGGCUCGUUGGAUCUUGAAAACGAAUUAGGAAGUCGCUGAAGUCAUAUGGAAUACUAAUUUGUAACUCCUGCAGAUCCUUUUUUCAGGUUAUGGUGUUCUUGUUGUACAUACUUUUGCUCCAAGAUGGCUUGUAGUCCUUGUACAAUCGUGUAUUUUGUAAAGAUAUGUGUUGUUGGCUGGUAAAAUCGACAAAGGACUUGGCAGGUCUGAAGCUAAAUACCCCAUAGAAGUUUGAGAUAAACUUAGAUGGCCAAGGAUUGGAUGCUAUUAUAACAGUGUGAAUGCAAAUAGAUCAAUCUUGUGGCAUGCCCUAUAACUACAGCAUUUUUAGGUUGAUGGGAAGUUUCUGCUGUGGCAAAUUUGCUUCAAAUUAAGCGGGUUCAAUUACAGAGAACAUAUUCGUCUUGUGCAUGGUUUUAACUGAUUUGAUCAAGGGCAAGGUAGUGACUAAUCUUGGUUUCUUACAAGUUCUGUUUAGGCAUCAUUUUUUUGUUUUCCUUCUCAUAGUUAUAGGCUAAGAAAGAUUACACAUAAUACCUCACAAAUGUAUGGAAGUAGUGAAAUCAAGGUGGUGUCGGUACUACUAGUUAAUACAAUAAGGUUCUGUUAAUCGUAAUGAUGACAAUGACUUAAAUUAGUAGAAAAUAGCAUGUAAUUACAGUUGACUUGGAA